This 335-nucleotide ribosomal RNA is filed under the name Canis aureus (golden jackal). Its description in RNAcentral is "partial 16S ribosomal RNA". The stretch from base 237 to 335 matches the Rfam family "Bacterial large subunit ribosomal RNA", at positions 714 to 833 of the family's 2925-position model. Lineage: Eukaryota; Metazoa; Chordata; Mammalia; Carnivora; Canidae. The record is from RNAcentral.
ACAAAAGCUAGCCCAACUAACCCCAAACUUAAGUAUCACAGACAUAUAAAGUAAAACAUUUAGUUAAAUAAUAAAAGUAUAGGAGAUAGAAAUUUUAAUUGGAGCGAUAGAGAUAGUACCGUAAGGGAAUGAUGAAAGACAUCUUAACAGUAUUAAACAGCAAAGAUUACCCCUUUUACCUUUUGCAUAAUGAACUAGCCAGAAACGACUUAACAAAGAGAACUUAAGCUAAGCUCCCCGAAACCAGACGAGCUACCCAUAAACAAUCUAAAAGGAUCAACUCAUCUAUGUAGCAAAAUAGUGAGAAGAUUUGUGGGUAGAGGUGAAAAGCCUAA